AGUGAACGCUGGCGGUAGGCCUAACACAUGCAAGUCGAACGGCAGCACAGUAAGAGCUUGCUCUUACGGGUGGCGAGUGGCGGACGGGUGAGGAAUACAUCGGAAUCUACUUUUUCGUGGGGGAUAAGUAGGGGAACCUAAGCCUAUAACGCCAUACGACCACGGGGGAAAGCCAGGGAAUCUUCGAACCUGGGCCGAUGAAUGAAGCCGAUGUCGGAUUAGCUAGUUGGCGGGGUAAAGGCCCACCAAGGCGACGAUCCGUAGCUGGUCUGAGAGGAUGAUCAGCCACACUGGAACUGAGACACGGUCCAGACUCCUACGGGAGGCAGCAGUGGGGAAUAUUGGACAAUGGGCGCAAGCCUGAUCCAGCCAUACCGCGUGGGUGAAGAAGGCCUUCGGGUUGUAAAGCCCUUUUGUUGGGAAAGAAAAGCAGCAGGUUAAUACCCCGCUGUUCUGACGGUACCCAAAGAAUAAGCACCGGCUAACUUCGUG
RNAcentral lists this ribosomal RNA (492 nucleotides) under uncultured bacterium. RNAcentral's name for it is "partial 16S ribosomal RNA". It matches the Rfam family "Bacterial small subunit ribosomal RNA", at positions 29 to 507 of the family's 1533-position model. The record is from RNAcentral.